This 495-nucleotide ribosomal RNA is filed under the name uncultured bacterium. Its description in RNAcentral is "partial 16S ribosomal RNA". It matches the Rfam family "Bacterial small subunit ribosomal RNA", at positions 28 to 507 of the family's 1533-position model. The record is from RNAcentral.
GAUGAACGCUGGCGGCGUGCCUAAUACAUGCAAGUAGAACGCUGAAGGAGGAGCUUGCUCUUCUGGUUGAGUUGCGAACGGGUGAGUAACGCGUAGGUAACCUGCCUGGUAGCGGGGGAUAACUAUUGGAAACGAUAGCUAAUACCGCAUGACAACAGUUAUUGCAUGAUAACUGUUUAAAAGGGGCAACUGCUCCACUACCAGAUGGACCUGCGUUGUAUUAGCUAGUUGGUGAGGUAACGGCUCACCAAGGCGACGAUACAUAGCCGACCUGAGAGGGUGAUCGGCCACACUGGGACUGAGACACGGCCCAGACUCCUACGGGAGGCAGCAGUAGGGAAUCUUCGGCAAUGGACGGAAGUCUGACCGAGCAACGCCGCGUGAGUGAAGAAGGUUUUCGGAUCGUAAAGCUCUGUUGUAAGAGAAGAACGAGUGUGAGAGUGGAAAGUUCACACUGUGACGGUAUCUUACCAGAAAGGGACGGCUAACUACGUG